GAUGAACGCUGGCGGCGUGCCUAAUACAUGCAAGUCGAGCGAACAGACGAGGAGCUUGCUCCUCUGACGUUAGCGGCGGACGGGUGAGUAACACGUGGAUAACCUACCUAUAAGACUGGGAUAACUUCGGGAAACCGGAGCUAAUACCGGAUAAUAUAUUGAACCGCAUGGUUCAAUAGUGAAAGACGGUUUUGCUGUCACUUAUAGAUGGAUCCGCGCCGCAUUAGCUAGUUGGUAAGGUAACGGCUUACCAAGGCGACGAUGCGUAGCCGACCUGAGAGGGUGAUCGGCCACACUGGAACUGAGACACGGUCCAGACUCCUACGGGAGGCAGCAGUAGGGAAUCUUCCGCAAUGGGCGAAAGCGUGACGGAGCAAAGCCGCGUGAGUGAUGAAGGUCUUCGGAUCGUAAAACUCUGUUAUUAGGGAAGAACAAAUGUGUAAGUAACUAUGCACGUCUUGACGGUACCUAAUCAGAAAGCCACGGCUAACUACGUG
Molecule: ribosomal RNA, 497 nt
Filed under: uncultured bacterium
Lineage: Bacteria
Description: partial 16S ribosomal RNA
Rfam family: Bacterial small subunit ribosomal RNA
Source: RNAcentral